GAUGAACGCUGGCGGCGUGCCUAAUACAUGCAAGUCGAGCGAACAGAUGAGGAGCUCGCUCCUCUGACGUUAGCGGCGGACGGGUGAGUAACACGUGGAUAACCUACCUAUAAGACUGGGAUAACUUCGGGAAACCGGAGCUAAUACCGGAUAAUAUAUUGAACCGCAUGGUUCAAUAGUGAAAGACGGUUUUGCUGUCACUUAUAGAUGGAUCCGCGCCGCAUUAGCUAGUUGGUAAGGUAACGGCUUACCAAGGCAACGAUGCGUAGCCGACCUGAGAGGGUGAUCGGCCACACUGGAACUGAGAAACGGUCCAGACUCCUACGGGAGGCAGCAGUAGGGAAUCUUCCGCAAUGGGCGAAAGCCUGACGGAGCAACGCCGCGUGAGUGAUGAAGGUCUUCGGAUCGUAAAACUCUGUUAUUAGGGAAGAACAAAUGUGUAAGUAACUAUGCACGUCUUGACGGUACCUAAUCAGAAAGCCACGGCUAGCUACGUG
This 497-nucleotide ribosomal RNA is filed under the name uncultured bacterium. Its description in RNAcentral is "partial 16S ribosomal RNA". It matches the Rfam family "Bacterial small subunit ribosomal RNA", at positions 28 to 507 of the family's 1533-position model. The record is from RNAcentral.